GCCUGGGUGGCUCAGUUGGUUGAGCAUCCGACUUCAGCUCAGGCCGUGAUCUUGCAGCUCGUGGGUUCAAGCCCCGCGUUGGGCU
This is a transfer RNA of Felis catus (domestic cat), 85 nucleotides long. It matches the Rfam family "tRNA". Rfam says of the family: Transfer RNA (tRNA) molecules are approximately 80 nucleotides in length. Their secondary structure includes four short double-helical elements and three loops (D, anti-codon, and T loops). Further hydrogen bonds mediate the characteristic L-shaped molecular structure. tRNAs have two regions of fundamental functional importance: the anti-codon, which is responsible for specific mRNA codon recognition, and the 3' end, to which the tRNAs corresponding amino acid is attached (by aminoacyl-tRNA synthetases). tRNAs cope with the degeneracy of the genetic code in two manners: having more than one tRNA (with a specific anti-codon) for a particular amino acid; and 'wobble' base-pairing, i.e. permitting non-standard base-pairing at the 3rd anti-codon position. NCBI's taxonomy places the organism in Eukaryota, Metazoa, Chordata, Mammalia, Carnivora, Felidae. The record is from Rfam.